Molecule: ribosomal RNA, 253 nt
Filed under: uncultured bacterium
Lineage: Bacteria
Description: partial 16S ribosomal RNA
Rfam family: Bacterial small subunit ribosomal RNA
Source: RNAcentral
CACGUAGGGGACGAGCGUUGUCCGGAUUCAUUGGGCGUAAAGCGCGCGUAGGCGGCUCGGAAAGUCGGUCGUGAAAUGCCGGGGCUCAACCCCGGGACUGCGUCCGAUACUCUCGAGCUGGAGGCAGGUAGGGGAGAUCGGAAUUCCUGGUGUAGCGGUGAAAUGCGCAGAUAUCAGGAGGAACACCGGUGGCGAAGGCGGCAUCCUGGACCGACACUGACGCUGAUGAGCGAAAGCCAGGGGAGCAAACGGG